This 393-nucleotide ribosomal RNA is filed under the name uncultured bacterium. Its description in RNAcentral is "partial 16S ribosomal RNA". It matches the Rfam family "Bacterial small subunit ribosomal RNA", at positions 523 to 918 of the family's 1533-position model. The record is from RNAcentral.
AUACGGAGGAUGCAAGCGUUAUCCGGAUUUAUUGGGUUUAAAGGGUGCGUAGGCGGUUUGCUAAGCGGGAGGUGAAAUGCCGGCGCUCAACGUCGGAAGUGCCUCCCGAACUGGUGGACUGGAAUGACUCUGCCGUGGGAGGAAUGUGUAGUGUAGCGGUGAAAUGCUUGGAGAUUACACAGAACACCGAUUGCGAAGGCAUCUCACGAAGGGUUGAUUGACGCUGAGGCACGAAAGCGUGGGGAUCAAACAGGAUUAGAUACCCUGGUAGUCCACGCAGUAAACGAUGAUGGCUAACCGCUGGGCUUAUCAGUUCAGUGGCCAAGCGAAAGCGAUAAGCCAUCCACCUGGGGAGUACGACCGCAAGGUUGAAACUCAAAGGAAUUGACGGGG